Long non-coding RNA from Ostrinia nubilalis (European corn borer), 2407 nucleotides. RefSeq lists it as uncharacterized. Lineage: Eukaryota; Metazoa; Arthropoda; Insecta; Lepidoptera; Crambidae. The record is from RefSeq and is a predicted model, not a curated record. The transcript has 2 exons.
UUCUAUAUUUUUAUAUUGCUCAAUGUGAGGUAGGUGUAAACCACGAAUGAUAGAAAUAAAUCAGUCUUGUUCUAGCCAGCUUGUUUCACUAACGCGCCCCGUCCCUGACACUUUAACAUGGCGCAGUCGGAGGUCGUAAAAUACGAAAAGAACUUAUGUUAGCAUUAACAUAAUGCAAUAAGUGAGAAUUGAUGAAGUUCAUAUGUGUUAUAACAACAUUUAUUAUCAACAAAGAAGCCUCAAGCAAUAAUUAUGGAGUCAAUUCUGCAACCACCGCAACCGUUUAUUUUUGAAAAUGAUAUAACGAACGUUACUUCUGGAAAUCUGAGUAAGGAUUGGGAAAAGUGGAAAAAUGCCUUCAAGAUUUAUUUCGAAGCCUGUGAAUUACAGAAAAAGGAUAAUAAGGUACAAAUAAACAUCUUAUUGCAUAUCAUAGGCGAAAAGUGUCGUGAGGUAUAUGAGCAAUUCAAAGGCGACAUUAAAACUAUAGAGGAUUUAUUGAAGGAAUUCGAUCGAUUUUUCUUACCCAGAAAAAACAUUACGAUUGAACGUCAUGCAUUCUUUACCCGGAAUCAGCGAGAAUUGGAAUCGGUGGAACAAUAUGUUUUCGAAUUGAACAAAAUAGCGGCAAAAUGUGAAUUUGAACAACUGAAGAGUGAAUUAGUACGAGAUAGAAUGAUAUGUGGAAUAAGGGAUGGAGCUUUACGUGAAAGAUUAUUAAGAGAAACGGAAUUAACAUUGUCAAAAGCGGUUGACAUUUGUACUUUGGCUGAAAUAUCAAGACUACAGGCGAACAGCAUAAAGACAGACACCCAGAUGCAUCAUGUCGACGAAAUAGUAUCUGAUCAGCGGCAAGAUGAGACCUGUGUACACUUUGUUAGACGCGGCGGACCGCGUAACUCGCCAGCAGCUACGCAUCGAACUUCAAAAUGGCGGCAACCUGCGCGACGUCGCGAUAGCGGCUCCGGUUCCGCGCAAACGCAAGUGUCAACGCACAAUCAACAAACAGUGAGGCGGAAAAAUGUGUUUUCAAAUAAUUAUGAACAAUCCACAUCCAAAGGCAAUAAAAACAUAAUGUGUAGAAAGUGUGGAAUAAAUCACAACAAAUUCAACUGCCCAGCUUUUGGGCAACGCUGUAUUGCUUGCAAUAAAAUGAAUCAUUACGCAAGAAUGUGCCAAGUUUACGAGGUCCAGGAGGAGUCCAGUGAUCAGGAUAGUGAGACCACCUGAUCGCUUGGAAUACUCUCAUCCUGGAAUUCCAAUACCAAGGUAAUGAUGCAAGCAUUUAUGGUAGAUAUUCAUUUAAUCUCACUUGCAAAAAUCUAUUUAUUAUAACUGAAAAGUAUUAUUUUAGUGUUAUUGAAAUUUAAUUAUGUAUAAAUGCAAUAUUUUAAAUAAAAUAUUACACUAUUAAAAGUUAAUUAUGUAAAUGUAAUGUUUUGAAUGGAAUACUGAAUUAUUGAAAUUAGUUAUGUAAAUGUAAUAUUUUAAAAUGGAAUAUAUUUAACAAUGUACCUAUUACAAAACAUCACCAAUAUACACAAUACAAUCUGCUCAAGAUGAAAUGUUUCAAUUUAUCUUAUGUAUCGGAAUAUAUUCAAAAAUGUACCUAUCAUAAAACAUCACCUAUGUUCACAAUACAAUCUGCUUACAAUGAAAUGUUUCAAUUUAUCUUAUGUAUCACAAAACCAAGACCUCUCCUAACUUUAAAUAACUUAUUAUUUAAAGUUGCCUUAAGAGGCAACACAAAUUAAUGUGAAACAAUAAUAAUGUAAUGAUAGUUAAUAAGUUUAAUAAAUGAAAAUUCCCAAAAUGUGAUAAAAUUAAUAUAAUAAAUAAAAUCUAGAAACAAUACUAUAAGUUAACAUUCAAAUAAAUACGAGUUAAUUACCGUUAACUAAUUAUUUGUAAUUAAUUUUGUUGUAAUAAAAUUGCAUGAUCUUAAUUUAAUCAUUAUUGUUUAAUAAUAUGUAGUGAUAAUUGCAUGUUUAAUAUUAUAAUUUGAUGAAUAAGCCAAUUCUGUAAUGUAUUAUUUAUUUAUUCGAUUUAAAAUCAAGGUGUACAAUAUAUUUGUGAUAUUGUUAAUGUGUAACUAGUUUGAAAGCAAUAACCAGAAAAAUUUAUUAAUUAUUAAGGUGUAAUUUAUUCGUUGUAAACUCAAUCAUAAUAUUAAUGUGAAUUAGCAUCUGUGGCUAUAAUAAUAUAAUCACAAGAAUGCAUUCUAUGUAUUUCAUCCAAAGUCAAUUAACUAUAGUGCUCACACAUUUCAUAUUGUUGCAUUCCACAAUAACAAAUUUUUAUAUAGUUUUUGUUUGGAAGGAUGUUGUGGGUAAUUCUAUAUUUUUAUAUUGCUCAAUGUGAGGUAGGUGUAAACCACGAAUGAUAGAAAUAAAUCAGUCUUGUUCUA